Molecule: transfer RNA, 66 nt
Filed under: Eusphalerum torquatum
Lineage: Eukaryota; Metazoa; Arthropoda; Insecta; Coleoptera; Staphylinidae
Description: tRNA-Trp
Source: RNAcentral
AAGGAUUUAAGUUAAUAAAACUAGUAGCCUUCAAAGCUUCAAAUAAAAAAAAUAUUUUAAGCCUUA